GCCAGAGAUUAGUCACAGAGCCACACUUGGCUGAGGUGGGAGGAUCGCUUGAGCCCGGGAGUUCUGGGCUGUAGUGCGCUAUGCCCAUCGGGUGUCUGCACUAAGUUCAGCAUCAAUAUGGUGACCUCCCAGGAGCGGGGAACCACCAGGUUGCCUAAGGAGGGGUGAACCGGCCCAGGUCGGAAACGGAACAGGUCAAAACUCCCAUGCUGAUCAGUAGUGGGAUCACACCCAUGAAUAGCCACUGCACUCCAGCCUGGGCAACAUAGCGAGACCCCACCUCUA
Molecule: unclassified non-coding RNA, 285 nt
Organism: Callithrix jacchus (white-tufted-ear marmoset)
Lineage: Eukaryota; Metazoa; Chordata; Mammalia; Primates; Cebidae
Rfam family: Metazoan signal recognition particle RNA
About the family: The signal recognition particle (SRP) is a universally conserved ribonucleoprotein. It is involved in the co-translational targeting of proteins to membranes.
Source: Ensembl